GAUGAACGCUGGCGGCGUGCCUAAUACAUGCAAGUCGAGCGAACAGACGAGGAGCUUGCUCCUCUGACGUUAGCGGCGGACGGGUGAGUAACACGUGGAUAACCUACCUAUAAGACUGGGAUAACUUCGGGAAACCGGAGCUAAUACCGGAUAAUAUAUUGAACCGCAUGGUUCAAUAGUGAAAGACGGUUUUGCUGUCACUUAUAGAUGGAUCCCCGCGGCAUUAGCUAGUUGGUAAGGUAACGGCUUACCAAGGCAACGAUGCGUAGCCGACCUGAGAGGGUGAUCGGCCACACUGGAACUGAGACACGGUCCAGACUCCUACGGGAGGCAGCAGUAGGGAAUCUUCCGCAAUGGGCGAAAGCCUGACGGAGCAACGCCGCGUGAGUGAUGAAGGUCUUCGGAUCGUAAAACUCUGUUAUUAGGGAAGAACAAAUGUGUAAGUAACUAUGCACGUCUUGACGGUACCUAAUCAGAAAGCCACGGCUAACUACGUG
RNAcentral lists this ribosomal RNA (497 nucleotides) under uncultured bacterium. RNAcentral describes it as "partial 16S ribosomal RNA". It matches the Rfam family "Bacterial small subunit ribosomal RNA", at positions 28 to 507 of the family's 1533-position model. The record is from RNAcentral.